GUAAAUCAAGAAACAUUUCAAAUAAAAUGCACGUUUGUGUGGAAUAAAAAUCCCUUUGUGCCAUGGUCUGACAGCACACAAAAACUGCCAGCCUCGUGAAAGCAUCUCUCUCAGCUAUAUCUCAGACAAUCGCACCAUUCAACAGCAUACUGGCUGAUGGGGCCUUGGAGAAUCCAGUACAAUUUUAGUGAAGACUGAGGUCAACAAAAAGAAAAUAAAUAUGUACAGUACUCCUGUACCACGUGGUGAUUCUGGUUGGCUAAGUGAUUUCAAGAUCUCAAGAUUCAGAAUUAGAAAACUUUAUUAAUCCUGGAGGGAAAAAAAAAAACAUGGAGCAAUCCAGAGCUCAGAAGCAUUGGCGUCAGCAGCAGUACUGUUAAGGACCACUUAAGUCUGUCCAGGGUGUAUCCCAGCCUUGUGCCCCAUGCUCCCUGGAAUAGGCUCCCGGACUCUCUGCAACCCUGAGCAGGAUAAGCAAUUGGAAU
This is a long non-coding RNA of Brienomyrus brachyistius, 485 nucleotides long. RefSeq lists it as uncharacterized. Lineage: Eukaryota; Metazoa; Chordata; Actinopteri; Osteoglossiformes; Mormyridae. The record is from RefSeq and is a predicted model, not a curated record. The transcript has 3 exons.